Molecule: transfer RNA, 75 nt
Filed under: Spirochaetia bacterium
Lineage: Bacteria; Pseudomonadati; Spirochaetota; Spirochaetia
Description: tRNA-Val
Rfam family: tRNA
About the family: Transfer RNA (tRNA) molecules are approximately 80 nucleotides in length. Their secondary structure includes four short double-helical elements and three loops (D, anti-codon, and T loops). Further hydrogen bonds mediate the characteristic L-shaped molecular structure. tRNAs have two regions of fundamental functional importance: the anti-codon, which is responsible for specific mRNA codon recognition, and the 3' end, to which the tRNAs corresponding amino acid is attached (by aminoacyl-tRNA synthetases). tRNAs cope with the degeneracy of the genetic code in two manners: having more than one tRNA (with a specific anti-codon) for a particular amino acid; and 'wobble' base-pairing, i.e. permitting non-standard base-pairing at the 3rd anti-codon position.
Source: RNAcentral
GGGCGCUUAGUUUAAUGGUAAAACGUCUCGUUUACACCGAGAAGACCAGGGGUCCGAUUCCCUUAGCGCCCACAA